This 30-nucleotide non-coding RNA is filed under the name Rattus norvegicus (Norway rat). The record is from RNAcentral. Lineage: Eukaryota; Metazoa; Chordata; Mammalia; Rodentia; Muridae.
UUGGAGCCAUGGCCAUUGCUAUAUAGCACA